This is a long non-coding RNA of Oxyura jamaicensis (ruddy duck), 736 nucleotides long. RefSeq lists it as uncharacterized. NCBI's taxonomy places the organism in Eukaryota, Metazoa, Chordata, Aves, Anseriformes, Anatidae. The transcript is spliced from 3 exons. The record is from RefSeq and is a predicted model, not a curated record.
AGAGGCAUGGGUAGGGGUACUACUUGUUUUCCUCCUGGAGAAGUUGCAGGAGAGUACUAAGCUGUACUUACCUGGGAGGCAACGCACUUCCAUGCCUGUCUCAGCACUGGCUGUACAACCCGGGGCCACUCCAGUGCUGGUGUGGCUGGAGGAACUGCAGUGCAGCGUUAGCAGCCACAGGAAAACAGAGCUGUACUUGCUGCUGCCCUUGGCUGUGUAUGGAAAGUAGCAGCUUUAACCAACGGAGUGCCAACUCAGUUGAGAAGAAUAUGAAGGAUCUGCUCUUUUCAUGUACGGCUGUUAGAUAUUUAACAGAAGGGAAGGAAAGAAUUUGACUUUGAAGACCCGUGCUCCACUGAUUCUUUUAAGUAACUUUUUAUUGGAAUAAGAAAAAGUAUGGCAAUAUUAUGAAACUAAUGCUAUUGCUAAUGUAAAUGUACUCAUCGCUCAUUAGUAUAAACAUGCUUUUAGCGCAGUGAGGGGACAGCACUAAUGUAAAGUGGAAAUAAAGCAAGAAAGUUAGUUGAAAACUAAUCCUCGAUUGGGAACACGACCUGCUGCACGUGCCUGUAACGUGGUAGAAUGUCUCUUGUGCUUUUAAGGCUGAUUGCUAAGGAAAUCUUAUAAAGUUAACAUAACUUUAUUAAUUCUUUGCAGUUACUCUGGGGUUUGUACAGUUUAGUAUCCUUCAAAUAUGUAUACAUAUACUAAAUACAGUUAAAUCUGUUGAUGGAAA